AUAGUAGAAAUAUACAGACACGUAUGUUUAAAAGUAAAAAUCUUCCUUUAUUCCUAUUACUCUCCAGUUCCACAGACUUCCCUAACAAUGGUUUGGAGGGUAUCCUUUAAGUUAGUUUUAUGCCUUUACAGAUACACGACAGACUCACACACAUGAAAAUAUAGGUGUGUGGACAGGAUCACACAACACAUGCUAUUCCGAAACUUGCAUUUUUCACUCAACAGCCAGUCUAAAAAAUUCUGUGUGAGCGCACGAAGAGCAAGCUCAACCUUCUAAAUGGCUGUCAUAAUUUUUUAACCAAUCCCCUAUCGAUUGGCCUUUACAAUGUUUUCAGUUUUUCGCUCUUAUAAACAAGACUUCAAGGAACAUCCUGACACAGUUUUCUUCGGGCAUGCGUGCUCUGGGCGUGGAGUCAGAAAAUGGAACCCCUUCCCGUUUCAGGUAUUUAAAUAUAACCGAUUCCUGAACUCUGAUGGGUCAGAGAAGAAAGACUUUUACAAGGACGGGAAACGACUGAAAAGUUGCAGCCUGCCGUGGGGAGCUGGACACAACCAGUGCAUGGGGAAGGCUUACGCCGUUAAUAGCAUCAAACAAUUCGUGUUCCUUGUGCUGGGGCACUUUGACCUGGAGCUGAUCAACGCAGACGUGGAGAUCCCUGAGUUUGACCUCAGCAGGUACGGCUUCGGGCUGAUGCAGCCGGAACACGACGUGCCCGUCCGUUACCGCGUCCGGCCGUGAGCUCCGGGAGCAGAUGGGGCUCCGCACACGUGCCUCCACCCACCCUGCCCCCCAUCACCCAACUUCCUGUGUCUGUUUGCCCUGGGUGCAGGAGCUUUGACCGCCCAACGGGGCCAGCAUGACCACUUUGCUGAUUUUUUUUCCCUAGAAGGCUGUGUCUGGGGAGGGGACCGAAGGCAAGCUGACAGGAGGGGGAUGGAAAAGGACACAAAGCUCUGUGAAUUGUCUGCGGCUAUGGUUGAGUUCCAAAAUGAGUCUCUGCUCCUAGCUCACCUUGCUCUCCCCACUCCCUCCACCCCCAUGAUAUCCACAAAAGCUGGGGCAGGCAGGGCAGAAGCAGGAGUCCUUAAAGCUCUGCUGUGCCCCACCUCCCCAAGGGGCCAAGUCCUUGCCAGUGCUGUGGUCCAGGCCUUAGCCAGUCAAACCAGAUGCUGGCCAUAAAAGAGCCAAUCAGGGCCACGCAGUGUAUCUCUUAAAAUCAGCUGUGUCCCCAAAUUAUUAAACUAGCCAACACCAAAGGAGUCCCUUAGAAUCUCUCCUCCCUAGGUGCCCUAUUCACUAGACACUUCCCUCAUCUCUCCAUUCACACUGAUGUUUGAGAAAAUUCAGGAAGGUUUUCCCAAAGGCUGAUGCGUUCAAGGUGCAGAUCAUGAGCCCCCUCCAAAGACUGGGCUCUAAGGAGUAGAGUUCUUUGUUGUAGACAUAUGGGCUCCAGAUGGGAGAGCUUUCCCAGUGUCGAGACUCAAGUAGGGAAUAAGAAAGACAGUCCAACAGGAUGGUCCCAAUGGAAGGAACCAGCCAGGGCUCCUUGGAAUGGUCAAGCCAAAAAAAGAGGUGUUGGUUUUCUACAUUCUAGCUUGGAAGCUCCAGCUGUGGUAUAUGAUCCAUUGGCUGACCUGUUUUUUUGGCCUAUGCUUAUGAAAAAAUACAUUAGUUGUUACCGUGUCAUCUGUGGGAGAGUUCAUUUAAAAUGUCCAGCUUCUCUUGAAAAUUUGGAAGCUCUGGCCACACUGGGCCCAUAUUCCCAAGGGCAACUGUUGGCCAGAGCUGAGCAGCUGCCCACUUCCUUACCCAGGGAUGUGCAUUCUGGCUCACUAGGGUUUCCACUUGGUGGAAAUUUUUCUUUCUGCUUCUCCAUUCACAGUCCCUCCUGGCCCUUGAAGGCAUUCCAGUUUGAAAGCCCUGUUCUAACUCUUAGAAGUGAUCUUGUAGGAGGUGGUAGGAACCUACUAAUUGGUCCUCGGACCAGUGGUGCACCCUAUCCUGGAUGCACCAUCCUUCGAACAAAGAUCAAGGAUGAAAACUUGCCUUUGUGUCAGCUUUAGAAAAAAACAGGUCAAAGAGGAAAACCUGCGGAAACCUUUAUUCUGUUAAGUACUAUUACUAACAUUAGUCCCUGUUUAUUGAGGACCCUCUAAAUGCCUGUGACGGGCACAGUGGAUCCAGUAUUUCUGCUUCUCACAGCAUCUGUGAAGAGAGGACGGUUAUGCCUUCUUUAGAGAUGAGGAAAUGGGCUCAGAGAGGUGACGUGACUUGGUAGGAUUUGGCAGAAUUAUUGUCCCAGUAGCACACGGUAGAUGGGCAGCUCUGCGUUCCUUGGGCUCAAGGGAGGGGCGGGGGUUGGAGGGCCAGUUCUGUUUCACGUUGGAGAGCUGACAAAGCCAGAGGCACCCAUGGCUGGCUGCGUCUCACGAGACGCAGACAUGCAUAUGCACGCAUAGCUCGGUCCCUGUAGCUUUAGCUGGGGGGAGGAGAGGACCUGAGAUCUCUGAACAUUCCAGGGGCCAGUCUCUGCUCAGAGCAGCACCAGGGCUUGGGGGCUUCCCUGGCCCCCAGCCUCCAGGCGCCCCCAGGAUUCCCAGACAGACACUGUGAUUGGCAGGAGGCAGGGUAUCCCCAGGGAAACCCAUCUUCACGCCUGGGUGACCCCCGCUGCCGCCUCCUUCUUAACUCUGCGGGAAAUCAGGGUUGGCAGCCUUCUGUGGGAGGAUGGAGCCUGUUUCCAUGGCAACCGUAGCUGCCUCCUCCUGGCUUGGAAGGGAAGGAAGAAGGCUGGCAGAAAUAGAUGCAGGAAGAUCUCGUCGAGCAGGGCUGUACCCCGGUGUGUGGGGGGAAAAGCCCUUAUGACUUUGCCCCCCUCCAAAUCAGGGCUGCCCUGUCACUGGGACUAGGUUCUCACCCAUGUUCCCUAAAAGGCCAAUUCCUCUAAAAGGUGGCACCUCCUUGGAACCACAGACAUUAGGAAGAGAUGGUUCUCCCACCAGGCAGCCCCAGCUGGUACCAGAGAUCUUGAAGAAGAGCUUGGGGGGACAAUGCCUUAAACCCUCCCUUGUUUUAAUCUUUCUUUUUUCCUUUCCCCCAACCACCCUUUUCUUCUUUAAAAAAAAAAAAAUCAAUAUAAGGUAUAGAGUAAAGAGGGAAAGAUGAGUGUGUUAGCUCCUUGCUGCAGGUUAGUUAAGAAGGUACCCGGAUAUCGUUGUAUUUCUUCAUACUUUGCUUUAGAACCACAAAAUUGCAGGACACAUGUCAGAAAUGCUCUUAGGUCAACCCAAUGAAGUGUUUCCUCUCCGUCAGCAUUAUUGUUAUUUUGUUUGUGCUCUAUUUCGUAUUGUUGUUUACCAGGUAUUUUCUUUUAAAACAGACUCAUUCUUUAAACUUUAAACUUUUAAAGGGGAACUUUAUUCCACUGCUGCCAUUAAGGGACAACAUGUAUCACUCGCUGCCAAAAAUAGAAAGUGGCUGUGAAAAAUACAUUUGCUGGGGGAGGGCCUCCGGGCCCCUGUCGCCAAGGCUCAGAGCCUGAGCUCUGUCUCGGCUCUGUUACAAAAUGAGACAAGCAAGCAAUGCAGGGGCGGUUAGAGCCAGGGCAGCACCACCUCGAGACUUUCGAGACUUUCUCCUUGACCGUCUGGGGCAGGAGGAGGAGUAAGCUGCUCAGCGCAAGUCGGAGCUCCUGCCUGGCCGGCCCCGCCCACGGUGAGCUGGGGACGGCCCACCUGCCCAUCCUCCGGAUGGAGAAACAGGCUCUAGGAGUUGAAGUGUCUUGCUAAAGUCCUUGAUCUUGGUGUGUGUGUAUGUGUGUGUUAGUAAACACAGUGUUUGGGGAGUAGCAAUGAUUAUUAUGCCUUGCUGUUUUAAUAAAGAAUUCUAUUUUCAUAUAAUCUUGUUGAGCGGAAAUGUGCUGAAAUGUAUUAAACCAUCCUUGUUUAUGGAA
This is a non-coding RNA of Leptonychotes weddellii (Weddell seal), 3952 nucleotides long. Lineage: Eukaryota; Metazoa; Chordata; Mammalia; Carnivora; Phocidae. The record is from RefSeq and is a predicted model, not a curated record.